AACGCUAGCUACAGGCUUAACACAUGCAAGUCGAGGGGCAGCAUGAUUCCAGCUUGCUGGAAUUGAUGGCGACCGGCGCACGGGUGAGUAACGCGUAUCCAACCUACCGUAUACUCAGGGAUAGCCUUCCGAAAGGGAGAUUAACACCUGAUAGUAUCUAAAGACCUCAUAGCCUUAAGAUUAAAUGUAAAGGUAUAUGAUGGGGAUGCGUUCCAUUAGAUAGUAGGCGGGGUAACGGCCCACCUAGUCGACGAUGGAUAGGGGUUCUGAGAGGAAGGUCCCCCACAUUGGAACUGAGACACGGUCCAAACUCCUACGGGAGGCAGCAGUGAGGAAUAUCGGUCAAUGGAUGAGAAUCUGAACCAGCCAAGUAGCGUGAAGGAUGACGGCCCUACGGGUUGUAAACUUCUUUUGAAAGGGAAUAAAGUGUGGUACGUGUACCAUAUUGUAUGUACCUUUGGAAUAAGCAUCGGCUAACUCCGUGCCAGCAGCCGCGGUAAUACGGAGGAUGCGAGCGUUAUCCGGAUUUAUUGGGUUUAAAGGGUGCGUAGGCGGACGCUUAAGUCAGUUGUGAAAGUUCGAGGCUCAACCUUGGAAUUGCAAUUGAUACUGGUCGUCUAGAGAUUACAUAAGGUAGGCGGAAUUCGUGGUGUAGCGGUGAAAUGCUUAGAUAUCACGAAGAACUCCGAUUG
Molecule: ribosomal RNA, 692 nt
Filed under: uncultured bacterium
Lineage: Bacteria
Description: bacterial SSU rRNA
Rfam family: Bacterial small subunit ribosomal RNA
Source: RNAcentral